This 1052-nucleotide long non-coding RNA is filed under the name Nothobranchius furzeri (turquoise killifish). RNAcentral describes it as "lncRNA (ENSNFUG00015011863.1)". Lineage: Eukaryota; Metazoa; Chordata; Actinopteri; Cyprinodontiformes; Nothobranchiidae. The record is from RNAcentral.
UGUUUCAUACCUAUUCUGUGUAAGUUGAUCUGUGGUUUCCAGCUGAUCUCCAGCAGUCUGCGCUGACGAUCGAUCUCUUCCUCGUAGCGGACGAUGGUUUGUUCAAACUCGGAGAAUAUUUCUGCAGCAGCAGCAGUUAGCCGCUCUCUUAUAAACUCUCUCAGAGACUGAGCUGAAGACAUUGUUGCUGCAGAGCCUCAGAGGUUCAAACAACAAGCUAACGCUGAUAACGAGCAACAAGCUAACGUUGAUAAUAAACAAUAAGCUAAUGCUGCUAAUAGCUUCCGGUUGGCGGUCUACAGUCUCUGUUGGUGAGCAGCGUAAAGGUGCUCUACCGCCACCUGCUGGACCAGAGUAGGAAAAGCAUCAAUAAGGAAGAGAUAUCAGCACCUUCCCAACACUUUAUUUGCUUCUCAGAGCUGCUAAAAAUAAAAGUAACAACAUAAAAAGUUUCUAUCACAUUCUUUAUAGAAAGUAGCAUUUUUUAGUUUGUUUGAAGUUCAUACAAAUAAAACUGGUCCGAUUUAGAUUAAAAAACAGAAAGAAAAAAGUAUUUUACUGGUUUUUCGUGGCUUUUGAAGAGACCGCCUAAAAUAAUGAAAAUUUAACAGAUGUGUGUUUUCAGUCCCAUUCUGAUCACACAGGUGCGUUUUAAUCUGCUCCAGCAGGUAACGCUAGUGCACCUUUACGCUAGUCACCGACCACCAGAAGAAGCAGAAACCGAAAGCUGUUAGCAGAGCUAGCUUAUUGUUGUUCUGCUGUGUGAGGGGAAUAUUUGAGGCUCUGCAGUAGAAAUGUAUUCACUUCAGUAUCUGGGACAGUUGAUCAGCUAAAGCGACUAUUUGCUGCUGCAGAAAUCUUCUCACCAGGCUGUGGAAACUUUCUUCUCCUCAAACACUUGGUGGAGUUCUUUCCAGAACCAGAGAAGUAUUCUGCGGUCUUCGUGACAAUCGGAGCUCCAGAAUCAGGUUGUAGAUUGAAGAGGUUCCCUCUAUCAGACUCGCUCAUCUGAGUUGGUCAUGAUGCAGGAUCGCUGCUCGCUCUCUUAUCCA